GCAGUCGACGAGACCUUCGGGUCUAGUGGCGCACGGGUGCGUAACGCGUGGGAAUCUGCCCUUGGGUUCGGAAUAACAGUUGGAAACGACUGCUAAUACCGGAUGAUGACGAAAGUCCAAAGAUUUAUCGCCCAGGGAUGAGCCCGCGUAGGAUUAGCUAGUUGGUGAGGUAAAGGCUCACCAAGGCUACGAUCCUUAGCUGGUCUGAGAGGAUGAUCAGCCACACUGGGACUGAGACACGGCCCAGACUCCUACGGGAGGCAGCAGUAGGGAAUAUUGGACAAUGGGGGCAACCCUGAUCCAGCAAUGCCGCGUGAGUGAUGAAGGCCUUAGGGUUGUAAAGCUCUUUUACCCGGGAUGAUAAUGACAGUACCGGGAGAAUAAGCCCCGGCUAACUCCGUGCCAGCAGCCGCGGUAAUACGGAGGGGGCUAGCGUUGUUCGGAAUUACUGGGCGUAAAGCGCACGUAGGCGGCGAUUUAAGUCAGAGGUGAAAGCCCGGGGCUCAACCCCGGAAUAGCCUUUGAGACUGGAUUGCUUGAAUCUUGGAGAGGCGGGUGGAAUUCCGAGUGUAGAGGUGAAAUUCGUAGAUAUUCGGAAGAACACCAGUGGCGAAGGCGGCCUGCUGGACAAGUAUUGACGCUG
RNAcentral lists this ribosomal RNA (643 nucleotides) under uncultured bacterium. RNAcentral's name for it is "bacterial SSU rRNA". It matches the Rfam family "Bacterial small subunit ribosomal RNA", at positions 57 to 748 of the family's 1533-position model. The record is from RNAcentral.